UCAAGCUCCGACCUCUGUCUCUUCUUCUCGUUCGUCGACAUCAGCUCCAGGCCGCCGAGCAUGUGGUGCUCGUGGAGAUGGCGGUUCAAUUACAGGCCCCAUUUCUGAUGAUCUAUCAAACUUGCCUUUAACAUCAUUGAAUUCGGAACAAGAGCCUGGCAAAUUGAGGCUUGAAUAGACACCUGGGGCAUCUGAUCUUGCUGCAGGCCACCUCCAUAUGAAUGAUUCAGGAUCCCAUCUGCAGACCUUGACAUUUGAAAGAAAGCCCGGAGUCAUAGACCGACUUCACAGGAAAGUGAUAUCCUUCAGGAUGCCACAAAGGUGCCAAGGAUUGCCCCAUGAAGAGAAUCUUUCCUUCCAUAUAAAAAAUGUGUUCUCCAAAUAUAAGACGAGCUCGCAGUGGCAGGGACCUUGAUGUCCCAAAAGCUUUUGCCUUGGAAACCUAUACUGCUUCACCCUGAUUAAGACCCAGAUAACAGAAACAAAAUACAUGUAAGAUUCAUGGCUGAUGUGUUAUUCAAUUGGUACAACUGCUUAAUGCCCAA
Eucalyptus grandis is the source of this 545-nucleotide long non-coding RNA. RefSeq lists it as uncharacterized. The transcript is spliced from 2 exons. Lineage: Eukaryota; Viridiplantae; Streptophyta; Magnoliopsida; Myrtales; Myrtaceae. The record is from RefSeq and is a predicted model, not a curated record.